CUUGCGUUAAUUUUUGUUUUUGUCUAAUAAGUGGAUGUGAAUACUUUGAAACAAGUAAGAAAACUAAGUCUUCUUUUGAAGUCCACAGUUCAUUGUUCAAUAUGAGCACUAAUAUAGAUAAGAAGGAACAUU
Sorex fumeus (smoky shrew) is the source of this 132-nucleotide small nucleolar RNA. RefSeq annotates it as small nucleolar RNA SNORA40. The record is from RefSeq and is a predicted model, not a curated record. The transcript has a single exon. NCBI's taxonomy places the organism in Eukaryota, Metazoa, Chordata, Mammalia, Eulipotyphla, Soricidae.